AUGUCAGAACUGCACGCCAUCUACCAACCACCCUCACUCUGACCAGUAGCCUUUAGGCUGACCUGAAGGACUACAACAGCCAUGUUUUUGGCAGAAGCUGGAUGUGCGUUUAUCAUUUUCAUCCUGUACAUCUCAGGAGUUCAUGGACAAGCAAACAGCAUCUGUGCCUUAAAAGGUUCAUCAGUGGAUCUGCCCUGCUCAGCUCAACGUCCCACUACAACCAUGAAGUGGUACACUGUACACAGGAAUGGAUCUACAUUUGUUCAGAAGGAACUCUCUACAGA
This is a long non-coding RNA of Perca fluviatilis (European perch), 284 nucleotides long. RefSeq lists it as uncharacterized. The transcript has 3 exons. The record is from RefSeq and is a predicted model, not a curated record. NCBI's taxonomy places the organism in Eukaryota, Metazoa, Chordata, Actinopteri, Perciformes, Percidae.